UUUCUCCUCAUUUUUUUUUUAAAGUUGACUCAAAAUUUAACACUCGCGUAGUACACACUAUAAAAUAUAAAGGGAUCAUACUAAUACUUACAAAGGAUUCUGGGCUAUAAUAGAAUGCAAUUUUCGUAGAAGAAAGCAACCGUAUCUUUCAAAGACGAAUGAAGUUACGUAGGAAGUCUGUGGUAGUUUAAUAGAACUUUGGAUCAGUCAAUCAUUGCUUCCGUUUAAGGGAUCAUUCUAAUACUUACAAAGGAUUCUGGGCUAUAAUAGAAUUCAAUUUUCUUGGAAGAAAGCAACCGUAUAUUUCAAAGACGAAUGAAGUUACGUAGGAAGUCUCUGGUUGUUUAAUAGAACUUGGGAUCAGUCAAUCAUUGCUUCCGUUUAAGGAUAGGUAUAAAAUUGGAGUAAUUUUCUAUGGAUACAAGGAAGAAGGCAAAAUGCUACAUAAUAUCUUCACAAAAUUCCAUGAGAUCCUCCUGGGGAAUUAUUUAUAUUUGCAAAUCAAAUGAUGGACCAUCAAACAGGACUCCAUAAUUAUUGAGGGUUGUCUAAUGAAACGGUUAAUGGAAUAAGAAACAGUCAAAGGACAAUGAUUGGCUAAUUGUUUAUUGAAACAGCAGAAGAUAUAGUGCAAACAUUGUUGAACAAGUAAUUAAAGGCGCGUUAUAUUAAUACUACAACACCACACACUCCUUCCCCACUCACACGAGCAUUGCUAGCUCUCUGUGUUGGUUAAUAAAAUUUCCUAAUUCAACAUUAGUGAAUUUCAUUAGCUGAUGCGGUUGGUUAACAGUGUUUUUGUCGGUGUGGAUCCCCGGCUUAAGAUGACUCCAGAGCGCGGCGCGGCCUUCCCCAAGAGAGGAGACUUCUUGGGUCACCCCCUAACCCCGAUGUUCGGGCAUCGAUGACCUGUGUAGCAUGCAGAGGUACCCAAGGGAGUCACCACCCUCUGAUUUACGAGCUAGGUGUUCUAAUGCUAGAGGCUUCGGCCGGAUACAACCUGGCACCCAAGCUCCGAGAUUUCUUCGUGCACGUAUUCCGUGACCCUCGAAGAG
RNAcentral lists this long non-coding RNA (1055 nucleotides) under Sitophilus oryzae (rice weevil). RNAcentral describes it as "uncharacterized LOC115878872, transcript variant X4". The record is from RNAcentral. Lineage: Eukaryota; Metazoa; Arthropoda; Insecta; Coleoptera; Curculionidae.